RNAcentral lists this ribosomal RNA (724 nucleotides) under uncultured bacterium. Its description in RNAcentral is "bacterial SSU rRNA". It matches the Rfam family "Bacterial small subunit ribosomal RNA", at positions 56 to 777 of the family's 1533-position model. The record is from RNAcentral.
UUCAGUCGAACGGACUUUAUGGGAUUAAUUCUUCGGAAAGCGUCCUGUAAAGUUAGUGGCGGACGGGUGAGUAACGCGUGAGCAACCUGCCUUUGAUAGGGGGAUAACAGAGGGAAACUUCUGCUAAUACCGCAUAAAGCAUGGGGAUCGCAUGGUCUCGAUGCCAAAGGAGCAAUCCGAUCAAAGAUGGGCUCGCGUCCGAUUAGAUAGUUGGUGGGGUAACGGCCUACCAAGUCGACGAUCGGUAGCCGGACUGAGAGGUUGAACGGCCACAUUGGAACUGAGAGACGGUCCAGACUCCUACGGGAGGCAGCAGUGGGGAAUAUUGGGCAAUGGACGAAAGUCUGACCCAGCGACGCCGCGUGAGGGAAGAAGGUCUUCGGAUUGUAAACCUUAGUCAACAGGGAAGAAGAAAGUGACGGUACCUGUGGAGGAAGCCACGGCUAACUACGUGCCAGCAGCCGCGGUAAUACGUAGGUGGCGAGCGUUAUCCGGAUUUACUGGGUGUAAAGGGUGUGUAGGCGGGAAGGCAAGUCAGAUGUGAAAACUAUGGGCUCAACCCAUAGCCUGCAUUUGAAACUGUUUUUCUUGAGAGUCGGAGAGGUAAGUGGAAUUCCCGGUGUAGCGGUGAAAUGCGUAGAUAUCGGGAGGAACAUCUGUGGCGAAGGCGACUUACUGGACGAUUACUGACGCUGAGACACGAAAGCGUGGGGAGCAAACAGGA